AGAGUUUGAUCCUGGCUCAGGAUGAACGCUGGCGGCGUGCUUAAUACAUGCAAGUCGAACGGAGACAUUAGCAAUAAUGUUUUAGUGGCGAACGGGUGAGUAACCGUUGGUGACCUGCCCCGAAGAGAGGGAUAACAGUUCGAAAGGAUUGCUAAUACCCCAUGUGGUUGUUUGGAUUAGAUGCCUUACAACUAAACGGAUUUAUUCGCUUCGGGAGGGGCCUGCGUCCCAUCAGCUAGUUGGUAAGGUAAUGGCUUACCAAGGCUAUGACGGGUAGGGGACCUGAGAGGGUGGCCCCCCACAAUGGAACUGAAACACGGUCCAUACACCUACGGGUGGCAGCAGUAGGGAAUAUUGGUUAAUGGGCGAAAGCCUGAACCAGCAACGCCGCGUGCACGAUGAAGGCCUUCGGGUUGUAAAGUGCUUUUUGAGAGGAUGAGGAAGGACAGUACUCUUAGAAUAAGCUUCGGCUAACUACGUGCCAGCAGCCGCGGUAAAACGUAGGAAGCGAGCGUUAUCCGGAUUUACUGGGCGUAAAGCGUGUGCAGGCGGUUCGGUAAGUUGGAUGUGAAAGCUCCUGGCUUAACUGGGAGAGGUCGUUCAAUACUGCCGGACUUGAGAGUGGUAGAGGGAGUUGGAAUUCCGGGUGUAGUGGUAAAAUGCGUAGAUAUCCGGAAGAACACCAGUGGCGAAAGCGGCCUCCUGGCCCAUUUCUGACGCUCAGACACGAAAGCUAAGGUAGCAAACGGGAUUAGAGACCCCGGUAGUCUUAGCUGUAAACGAUGUGAACUAGGUGUUGGGACGGUUAAUCGUCUCAUUGCCGCAGCUAACGCAUUAAGUUCUCCGCCUGGGGAGUACGGUCGCAAGAUUAAAACUCAAAGGAAUUGACGGGGGCCCGCACAAGCGGUGGAGUAUGUGGUUUAAUUCGACGCAACGCGAAGAACCUUACCUGGUCUUGACAUCCCGGGAAUCUUAGGAAACAGGGGAGUGCCCUUCGGGGAGCGUAGAGACAGGUGGUGCAUGGUUGUCGUCAGCUCGUGUCGUGAGAUGUUGGGUUAAGUCCCGCAACGAGCGCAACCCCUGUGUUUAGUUGCUAACGCGUAAUGGCGAGCACUCUAGACAGACUGCCGGUGAUAAACCGGAGGAAGGUGGGGAUGACGUCAAAUCAUCAUGCCCCUUAUGUUCUGGGCUACACACGUGCUACAAUGGCCGGUACAGACGGAAGCGAAGCCGCGAGGUGGAGCCAAUCCGAGAAAGCCGGUCUCAGUUCGGAUUGCAGGCUGCAACUCGCCUGCAUGAAGUCGGAAUCGCUAGUAAUCGCAGGUCAGCAUACUGCGGUGAAUACGUUCCCGGGCCUUGUACACACCGCCCGUCACACCAUGGGAGCCAGUAACACCCGAAGCCGGUGAGCUAACUUAACGGAGGCAGCUGUCGAAGGUGGGAUUGGUGACUGGGGUGAAGUCGUAACAAGGUAACCU
Molecule: ribosomal RNA, 1478 nt
Filed under: uncultured bacterium
Lineage: Bacteria
Description: bacterial SSU rRNA
Rfam family: Bacterial small subunit ribosomal RNA
Source: RNAcentral